Molecule: ribosomal RNA, 494 nt
Filed under: uncultured Solirubrobacterales bacterium
Lineage: Bacteria; Bacillati; Actinomycetota; Thermoleophilia; Solirubrobacterales
Description: bacterial SSU rRNA
Rfam family: Bacterial small subunit ribosomal RNA
Source: RNAcentral
AGGACGACGCUGGCGGCGUGCUUAACACAUGCAAGUGGUGCGACGAACCAGGGCUUGCCCUGGGGCCAAGCCGCGAACGGUGAGUAACACGUGAGUAACCUGCCCCGAUGACCGGGACAACCCGAGGGAAACUCGGGCUAAUACCGGAUGUGGCGCACAAUCGUAAGUUUGUGCGCUAAAGGAAGCUUCGGCCUCCGCAUUGGGAGGGGCUCGCGGCCCAUUAGCUUGUUGGUGAGGUAACGGCUCACCAAGGCAACGAUGGGUAGCUGGUCUGAGAGGACGAUCAGCCACACUGGGACUGAGACACGGCCCAGACUCCUACGGGAGGCAGCAGUGGGGAAUCUUGCGCAAUGCGCGAAAGCGUGACGCAGCAACGCCGCGUGGGGGAAGACGGCCUUCGGGUUGUAAACCCCUUUCAGGAGGGACGAAGGUUCACCGGUGAAUAGCCGUGUGGAUUGACGGUACCUCCAGAAGAAGCUCCGGCUAGCUACGUG